UGCAAUAACAGCUCACUAGCUAACCUACAGUC
Molecule: non-coding RNA, 32 nt
Filed under: Mus musculus (house mouse)
Lineage: Eukaryota; Metazoa; Chordata; Mammalia; Rodentia; Muridae
Source: RNAcentral